GAUGAACGCUGGCGGCGUGCUUAACACAUGCAAGUCGAACGUGAUCCAUUAGCAAUAGUGGUGAAAGUGGCGAACGGGUGAGUAACACGUAGGUAACCUGCCCUGAAGCGGGGGAUAACGGCUGGAAACGGUCGCUAAUACCGCAUGAGUCCAUUGAAACGGGAGUGAGAUGGAGAAAAUUACGGUGCUUCAGGAGGGGCCUGCGUCCGAUUAGCUAGUUGGUGAGGUAACGGCUCACCAAGGCGACGAUCGGUAGCUGGUCUGAGAGGACGAUCAGCCACACGGGAACUGAGACACUGUCCCGACUCCUACGGGGGGCAGCAGUUAGGAAUAUUGGGCAAUGGGCGGAAGCCUGACCCAGCAACGCCGCGUGAAGGAUGAAGGCCUUCGGGUUGUAAACUUCUUUUAUGGGGGAAGAGUAAGGACGGUACCCCAGGAAUAAGUCACGGCUAACUACGUGCCAGCCGCCGCCGUAA
Molecule: ribosomal RNA, 476 nt
Filed under: uncultured bacterium
Lineage: Bacteria
Description: partial 16S ribosomal RNA
Rfam family: Bacterial small subunit ribosomal RNA
Source: RNAcentral